GGAGAAGCAGGGGAUCGCAAGACCUUGCGCUUUUGGAGCGGCCGAUGCCUGAUUAGCUUGUUGGUGAGGUAAAAGCUCACCAAGGCUUCGAUCAGUAGCUGGUCUGAGAGGACGACCAGCCACACUGGGACUGAGACACGGCCCAGACUCCUACGGGAGGCAGCAGUGGGGAAUUUUGGACAAUGGGGGCAACCCUGAUCCAGCCAUGCCGCGUGAGUGAAGAAGGCCUUCGGGUUGUAAAGCUCUUUCAGCCGGAACGAAACGGUCACGGUUAAUACCCGUGACUACUGACGGUACCGGAAGAAGAAGCACCGGCUAACUACGUGCCAGCAGCCGCGGUAAUACGUAGGGUGCGAGCGUUAAUCGGAAUUACUGGGCGUAAAGCGUGCGCAGGUGGUUUUGUAAGUCAGAUGUGAAAUCCCCGGGCUUAACCUGGGAACUGCGUUUGAAACUACAAAGCUAG
Molecule: ribosomal RNA, 463 nt
Filed under: uncultured bacterium
Lineage: Bacteria
Description: bacterial SSU rRNA
Rfam family: Bacterial small subunit ribosomal RNA
Source: RNAcentral